UCGAACGCGAAAGCCCCGCAAGGGGUAAGUAGAGUGGCAAACGGGUGAGUAACACGUGGGUGACCUGCCUUCGAGUGGGGGAUAACGUCCCGAAAGGGACGCUAAUACCGCAUGACAUCCUGCGUUUGGAAACGCGGAGAUCAAAGCCGGGGAUCGCAAGACCUGGCGCUUGAAGAGGGGCCCGCGCCUGAUUAGCUAGUUGGUGGGGUAACGGCCUACCAAGGCAACGAUCAGUAUCCGGCCUGAGAGGGCGGACGGACACACUGGGACUGAGACACGGCCCAGACUCCUACGGGAGGCAGCAGUGGGGAAUUGUUCGCAAUGGGCGCAAGCCUGACGACGCAACGCCGCGUGGAGGACGAAGAUCUUCGGGUCGUAAACUCCUGUCGAGCGGGAAGAACGCUUCCCGGGUGAAUAAUCCGGGGAGGUGACGGUACCGCUAAAGGAAGCCCCGGCUAACUCCGUGCCAGCAGCCGCGGUAAUACGGGGGGGGCAAGCGUUGUUCGGAAUUACUGGGCGUAAAGGGCUCGUAGGCGGCCAACUAAGUCGGAUGUGAAAUCCCCAGGCUCAACUUGGGAACUGCAUCCGAUACUGGAUGGCUUGAAUCCGGGAGAGGGAUGCAGAAUUCCAGGUGUAGCGGCGAAAUGCGUAGAUAUCUGGAGGAAUACCGGUGGCGAAGGCGGCAUCCUGGACCGGCAUUGACGCUGAUGAGCGAAAGCUAGGGGAGCAAACGGGAUUAGAUACCCCGGUAGUCCUAGCC
RNAcentral lists this ribosomal RNA (760 nucleotides) under uncultured bacterium. RNAcentral's name for it is "bacterial SSU rRNA". It matches the Rfam family "Bacterial small subunit ribosomal RNA", at positions 62 to 801 of the family's 1533-position model. The record is from RNAcentral.